UGGGGAAUUUUGGACAAUGGGCGAAAGCCUGAUCCAGCAAUGCCGCGUGUGUGAAGAAGGCCUUCGGGUUGUAAAGCACUUUUGUCCGGAAAGAAAUCCUUGGCUCUAAUACAGUCGGGGGAUGACGGUACCGGAAGAAUAAGCACCGGCUAACUACGUGCCAGCAGCCGCGGUAAUACGUAGGGUGCAAGCGUUAAUCGGAAUUACUGGGCGUAAAGCGUGCGCAGGCGGUUUGCUAAGACCGAUGUGAAAUCCCCGGGCUCAACCUGGGAACUGCAUUGGUGACUGGCAGGCUAGAGUAUGGCAGAGGGGGGUAGAAUUCCACGUGUAGCAGUGAAAUGCGUAGAGAUGUGGAGGAAUACCGAUGGCGAAGGCAGCCCCCUGGGCAAUACUGACGCUCAUGCACGAAAGCGUGGGGAGCAAACAGGAUUAGAUACCCUGGUAGUCCACGCCCUAAACGAUGUCAACUAGUUGUUGGGGACUUCAUUUUCCUUAGUAACGUAGCUAACGCGUGAAGUUGACCGCCUGGGGAGUACGGUCGCAAGAUUAAAACUUAAAGGAAUUGACGGGGUCAUAGCUGUUUCCU
Molecule: ribosomal RNA, 586 nt
Filed under: uncultured bacterium
Lineage: Bacteria
Description: partial 16S ribosomal RNA
Rfam family: Bacterial small subunit ribosomal RNA
Source: RNAcentral